Camelina sativa (false flax) is the source of this 837-nucleotide non-coding RNA. NCBI's taxonomy places the organism in Eukaryota, Viridiplantae, Streptophyta, Magnoliopsida, Brassicales, Brassicaceae. The record is from RefSeq and is a predicted model, not a curated record.
UUCUUUCUUCUUCUUCACGAUGCUUUAUCGAGUUGUAUCCCCAAUUUUUCGACCACUAACACCUCCACGUUCAAGUUACAAUUCUCAGUCAGGUGGAAGAUUCUCUGGAUUAUACCUAUCUUUCACAUCUAAAUUCUUUGAAAAAAGAAUGGAAGAUCAGAGCUUUAAUAUCCUGGACAUGGAAUUAAUUAUCCAAAAGAUAAAGCUGGAGUAAUUCUCAUCUAUAGAAUUAUCGAUUUGCAAGUUCUGAUUCCGAAUUACAGUCUCCCACUCUUUCACCUAUUGUUUUAUUUAGCAAUUGCUUAUGGAUCGUGAGGUUUUUACAUCUUUUGUUUAAUGUUUACCAUCUAACUGUAGGGGUCAGUCUCCAACAUGAAAGAAAGAGCUUUCCGCCAAUGCGGUUUCAAAUUGUCUUCUAUGCCAUUUACAAGACAUGAUAUCCUUAUGGUACCUUUACCUCACAUAUGGACUUCUUCUUAUUAAUGGAACGAUUGAUCUAUGUUGUUGGGAGAAUAACAAGAAGAAAAGAGAGAACAACAAUGGUAUGCUAUGCUUUGGUAAAUUUUAGAAGGGCCAUGCUUAGCGUUAUGGUCUAUACAAGGAGAAAGACAUGUGGAAACGAAGUUAAGAAGAAGGAAUUGGCAAGUGUGGAGGAAACUGAAGAGUGAACAAGCAUGUGCAGGAGAAUACAAUUGUGUAUAUAAAGCAUGUAGUCAUUUCUGUGUAGAGUAUGCUCUGUUUUGCUAUUGAAAGGGCGAUGUAUGUGUUGCUUAGUGACAUAGAGCUUGUGUUGGUGAUGUAUGGAUGGUUUUUUCUUAAUUUUAUGAACAGUAUAUC